Non-coding RNA from Pseudonaja textilis, 575 nucleotides. Lineage: Eukaryota; Metazoa; Chordata; Lepidosauria; Squamata; Elapidae. The record is from RefSeq and is a predicted model, not a curated record.
GUGGGAAGGUCGCAAGAGAUCACGUGACCCCUGGACUCUACAAGGGUCAUAAAUGCAAUUCAGUUCCCAGGUGAAGGGAAAAUAUAUUAAGUUACUCUUUUAUAAUAGUGUUUUAUGUGUUGUUAAGCUAGAAUAUUCCUCUCACUCCUUUUGUUACAUCUUACCCUAACCCCCACCCUAACCCCCAAAGUGUAUUCAGUUAAAGUAUGUGAUAGCUUGUCACAAUUUUCUUGGAAAACAGGAACAUCCACCCAGGGCCAGGCAACAAGUAAAUAAGAUAAGGGAUAUCCUCCCAAGGUGAACCUCAGAAGUAAAACAAGAUAAGAUAUCCCAUGCAUAGAAAACAAUCUCAUGUUGACCCUUUAGUUUAUAGUUUAACUCAUCGUAUAGUUUCAGAUAAUAAGGGGGAGUUGGGAGGGCUUCUUAGGCGUAGCGUGCAUUGUGCAGGGGGUAUAAAUAUAUUAGUUUGAAAAUAGUACUUUGCUCUCCUUGUACUUAAUCCACUUGGGAAGGGUCUUGGAGGCCACGCUUGCAACUGCUUUCUUUUAUUUGGUUCAAUAAACGCUUGAAAUUGU